GGUGGAAUGGCCGAGUCGUUAAGGCGUAUGAUUUAGGACUUUUGUUCAAAAUCUCAUAUGGGAAACCGCGUGGGUUCAAAUCCCACUUCCAUCA
RNAcentral lists this transfer RNA (94 nucleotides) under Serendipita vermifera MAFF 305830. It matches the Rfam family "tRNA". From Rfam's summary of the family: Transfer RNA (tRNA) molecules are approximately 80 nucleotides in length. The record is from Rfam by way of RNAcentral. Lineage: Eukaryota; Fungi; Basidiomycota; Agaricomycetes; Sebacinales; Serendipitaceae.